RNAcentral lists this ribosomal RNA (247 nucleotides) under uncultured bacterium. RNAcentral's name for it is "partial 16S ribosomal RNA". It matches the Rfam family "Bacterial small subunit ribosomal RNA", at positions 523 to 769 of the family's 1533-position model. The record is from RNAcentral.
AUACGGAGGUGGCAAGCGUUGUUCGGAAUUACUGGGCGUAAGGGGCGCGUAGGCGGUUCUGCAAGUCAGAUGUGAAAGCCCCGGGCUUAACUCGGGAAUUGCAUCUGAAACUGCUUAACUUGAGUCCUGGAUGGGGUAGUGGAAUUCCCAGUGUAGCGGUGAAAUGCGUAGAUAUUGGGAGGAACACCUGCGGCGAAGGCGGCUACCUGGACAGUGACUGACGCUGAGGCGCGAAAGCUAGGGGAGC